This 240-nucleotide long non-coding RNA is filed under the name Elaeis guineensis (African oil palm). RNAcentral describes it as "long non-coding RNA (EGUI_LNC011093)". Lineage: Eukaryota; Viridiplantae; Streptophyta; Magnoliopsida; Arecales; Arecaceae. The record is from RNAcentral.
UCCAAAUUAAUAAACAAUUUCUACAUGCUAGCCUCACACCAAUAAUAUCUUUUUUUUCGUUUAAUUAUAACCUAUAUUUUUUUAUUCAUUUCCACCCAUCUCUAUUUUGCCAUCUAAGUACAUGACAUCCUGCUCUUCAUUUAUCUUUUUCUCAUGCGCUUUCUUAUUUCUUGGUCAGUCUUCACCUCAGUCUUAUCUCCAGGUGAAAUUAAAUAUAUACUCGUCACCUUAGCUUCACCC